GUGCUUGCUACAGCAGCCCUUAUACUAAAAUUGGAACAACAAAGAAAAGAUAAACAUGGCCCCUUGUACAAAGAUGACAUGCAAAUUUGUGAAGCAUUCCAUUUUAAA
This is a small nuclear RNA of Ursus americanus (American black bear), 108 nucleotides long. Lineage: Eukaryota; Metazoa; Chordata; Mammalia; Carnivora; Ursidae. The record is from Ensembl.